AUGCUGAAGCAGGCCACUGAGCUUCAGCUCCCGAGCUAUGUUGAAGGUCUGGACUAUGGUAGUGGCAUGAACUCAGCAUAUUCACCCAUCUCUGAGACACCGUACCAUGAUGAAGGAAUGAUAUCGCCAGUGCUGAGUCCAAAUUUUCGGGCUUCUCAAUUCUCACCAUAUGUUGGGGGCAUGGCAAUUUCUCCGGUCCAAUCAAACUACAGCCAAUCCUAUACUUCUGGCUCUCCUUCCUACAGUCCGACCAGUCUAUCAUACUCGCCAACAUCGCCGAUCUAUAGUCCCACAUCACUGACCUAUACUCCAGCAUCACCAGUUUAUAGCCCAACAUCGACAGUUUAUGGUCCAACAUAUCUUGCAUAUAGCCCAACAUCGCCAGUUUAUAGCCGGACAUCUCUUGCAUACAGCCCAACGUCACCAUCUUAUAGUCCAACAUCUUCACUCUGUAGUCCGACCUCUCCAUCAUACAGAUGGACGUUGCCAUCUUAUAGCCCAACAUCACCAUCAUACAGUCCUACAUUGCCCUCAUCAUACAGCCCUACGUUGCCUGGUUACAGCCGGACGUCACCGAGCUACAGCCCUACUUCACCGAGCUACAGCCCUACGUCACCAAGCUAUAGCCCUACUUCACCGAGCUACAGCCAGACGUCACCGAGCUACAGCCCUACGUCACCAAGCUACAGCCGGACGUCACCAAGCUAUAGCUGGACGUCACCGAGCUACAGCCCGACGUCACCGAGCUACAGCCCUACGUCGCCCUCGUGCAGUCCUUCACAUGCUUAUUCUCGAAGCAGGGCAAGGAUGAUGAGCCCGUACAGUCAGGCUCCUCCAAACUACAGCCCGCACACUACCGCUGGAGGAGCUAGACUAGAUUACAGCCCAGCUUCCCCCAACUACAGGCCCAGCGCAAGCUACUCCCCCAUUGUACCGGGCUACUCUCCGUCAUCCACCAGGCCACAAACUACUGACAUGGAUGACGAGACUGCUCGUUGA
This 999-nucleotide ribosomal RNA is filed under the name Triticum aestivum (bread wheat). RNAcentral describes it as "partial small subunit ribosomal RNA". The record is from RNAcentral. Lineage: Eukaryota; Viridiplantae; Streptophyta; Magnoliopsida; Poales; Poaceae.